This 200-nucleotide ribosomal RNA is filed under the name uncultured eukaryote. RNAcentral's name for it is "partial 18S ribosomal RNA". It matches the Rfam family "Eukaryotic small subunit ribosomal RNA", at positions 588 to 858 of the family's 1831-position model. The record is from RNAcentral.
GCUCUAAUAGCGUAUAUUAAAGUUGUUGCAGUUAAAAAGCUCGUAGUUGGAUUGCAAGAGUAGAAUAUGAUCCGUCAUAUUCGCUCUACCAGCCUUAGGCUGUUACUGUGAGAAAAUUAGAGUGUUUCAAGCAGGCUUAUGCAGGAAUACAUUAGCAUGGAAUAACGAAUGUGUCUAGAAUCUUGGUUAAUUCUAGAAUA